Molecule: ribosomal RNA, 506 nt
Filed under: uncultured bacterium
Lineage: Bacteria
Description: partial 16S ribosomal RNA
Rfam family: Bacterial small subunit ribosomal RNA
Source: RNAcentral
AGUGAACGCUGGCGGUAGGCCUAACACAUGCAAGUCGAACGGCAGCACAGGAGAGCUUGCUCUCUGGGUGGCGAGUGGCGGACGGGUGAGGAAUACAUAGGAAUCUACUUUUUCGUGGGGGAUAACGUAGGGAAACUUACGCUAAUACCGCAUACGACCUACGGGUGAAAGCAGGGGACCUUCGGGCCUUGCGCGAUUGAAUGAGCCGAUGUCGGAUUAGCUAGUUGGCGGGGUAAAGGCCCACCAAGGCGACGAUCCGUAGCUGGUCUGAGAGGAUGAUCAGCCACACUGGAACUGAGACACGGUCCAGACUCCUACGGGAGGCAGCAGUGGGGAAUAUUAGACAAUGGGCGCAAGCCUGAUCCAGCCAUACCGCGUGGGUGAAGAAGGCCUUCGGGUUGUAAAGCCCUUUUGUUGGGAAAGAAAUCCAGCUGGCUAAUACCCGGUUGGGAUGACGGUACCCAAAGAAUAAGCACCGGCUAACUUCGUGCCAGCCGCCGCGGUAA